AUGAACGUGCAGGAAUUGAAAUCCUCCUGCCUCAGCCCCCUGAGGAGGAGUAAGGCUCUGGCUCUGGGUUUCCAGUGGCUGCAAAGCACAGCUUGGCAGGCAGUGCCUUUGGGGGCAUGGAUAGCCUCCCAUAUUACCAAGGACAUGCUGCCAGGCUCCUAUCCCCUGACCCCAGAGGAAUGGGCAGCCACCACCAAGAAGUAUAAUAUGCAUAAAAAAGAUAAUAAUAUGCGUGUGGAAGACUAUGAGCCUUACCCAGAUGAAGGCAUGGGGUAUGGAGACUUCCCAAAGCUGCCUGACUGCUCACAGCAUGAGAGGGAUCCACGGUAUGAAUGGGACCGCCCAGACCUGAGGUUGAACUGAGGUGAACCGAUUCACUGGCAUCUAGACAUGUAUAUCCAGAACUGUGUGGACACAUCUCCCACACCUGUUUCUUGGCAUAUCAUGUGUAACCAUCUCUUCGGCUUUGUGGCAUUCAUGCUUUUUAUGUUCUGGGUAGGGGAGAUGUACCCCAGCUACCAGCCUGUGGGGCCAAAGCAGUAUCCUCGUAAUAAUCUGUACCUGGAAUGAGGUGGUGAUCCCAGCAAAGAACCUCAGCCGGUGGUUCACUAUGAGAUCUGA
This is an RNA transcript of Octodon degus (degu), 621 nucleotides long. It is a transcript of the gene named NADH dehydrogenase [ubiquinone] 1 beta subcomplex subunit 8, mitochondrial pseudogene, with no coding region annotated. The transcript is spliced from 3 exons. The record is from RefSeq and is a predicted model, not a curated record. NCBI's taxonomy places the organism in Eukaryota, Metazoa, Chordata, Mammalia, Rodentia, Octodontidae.